CCUGACAUCCUCCUGCGAAGUAAUGGAUCAAGAAACUGCCUGAAGGAAUUUAAUCUUUGUUCAUCACCAUCAGUUGCACUCAAUUCUGACUGCCGCACCUCAUCACUUGUACCAGCACCGCCUUCCUCUGCAUCAACCUUAGAUUCUUCAAGCAGUGCUAUCUGCCAAAGAAUUUCACGAUGAAUACGACCAAUAUCUUCCAAGACAUCUUUGCUACCAUUUCCAAACUCUGUUAAUAGAGCAGUGACCCGUCGGUUGUCUUUGGAGGCAGCCAAAAAUAAAAGAAACUCAACUAGAAAAAGUGAAGAAAAAGUCUUUUCUUGAAUAUUUUUAGGAUCCAGCAGAAAAGCACCAGAAACAACAUCAAAACCAGACAAUGCUUUUU
RNAcentral lists this long non-coding RNA (385 nucleotides) under Nicotiana benthamiana. RNAcentral describes it as "long non-coding RNA (NBEN_LNC002099)". Lineage: Eukaryota; Viridiplantae; Streptophyta; Magnoliopsida; Solanales; Solanaceae. The record is from RNAcentral.